GUUUUCAUAGUUUAAAUUAAAACAUUACACUGAAAAUGUAAAAAUAAAUUUUGAAAAUA
This 59-nucleotide transfer RNA is filed under the name Hyalomma truncatum. Its description in RNAcentral is "tRNA-Phe". Lineage: Eukaryota; Metazoa; Arthropoda; Arachnida; Ixodida; Ixodidae. The record is from RNAcentral. RNAcentral also lists the same sequence under 1 other name.